CAAGGUCCCGGCUCUCUGCAGUAAUAAUACAUGAACAGCUCCUCUCCCUCAUCCAUUAAUCAGGAGGGAGGCUGAGAUGACAUGAUAAUGUGUGAUGAGAGUAACAUGAGAGAAGGAAUGAAGGAGGAGGUUGCUAACUCCAGGUGCAUCAGAAGAGCCAUCCUCAAAACUCCUCCCACCAAGAUCAUCAUUUGUUUACUUUAAUGCCUUCAGGCAGCGUUAUAGAUUGAUGGAAGCCUCAGCCACCAGGACAAAAACUAAUUUUUAUCCAGAGGCCGUCAGAGCUUUCAACUGUGCAUGUAAAUCACAUUGAUUUCUAUUUUAGUAAAAACAGUCACUUUAAUCUUGUACAGUUCUACCUGCUAUUGGUAACUUUUAUAUAUGUUAUAUGUUUAUAUAAAAUAAAGGACCUAAACUA
Molecule: long non-coding RNA, 418 nt
Organism: Poecilia latipinna (sailfin molly)
Lineage: Eukaryota; Metazoa; Chordata; Actinopteri; Cyprinodontiformes; Poeciliidae
Exons: 3
Source: RefSeq, a predicted model, not a curated record